GAACAUACAGAAGCCGGAGCCACGGGCAGCACAGGGUCUUUGGUGAGGAAAGCGCUAAAACCCUAAGACGCACAUCUCGGAAUUCAUGGAAAGACGGGAAGUUUCGCCCUGCGACCAACUAACGCCGAGUUUUUUUGAUUCCCGGCGGUGUUGGACGAUUACAUUCUUCCAGUUGUUUCCAUGACCAACAGAAAACGAAGCAGGAUCAACUAAGGGAGGCGCUUCUGGAAAAGCACUGUGGAUCCCAAUACGACUUUGAUCGGCAUCGGCGUUAGGAGACAUAAGGGACCGAGGGCGUGCUGAGGGGCAGAAGGCUCAGUGCACGACCAUUUCCUCUUACGACAACUCGAGACCCACCCCUUGAGACCCACCCUGACACCUCUGGCUGAAUCUCCAGACACACUGGGACCGCGCCCCCCCCCCGCCCCUCCCUCUAUUUCUGUCUUUCUUUUUUUUUUUCAACAGAGCUUUUCAACCCCAGCUUUUUCAUACCUCAAAUUUCUGGGCUUCUAGCCGCAGUUUUUCUAUAUUUUGGCUGACUUCUGUUAAUUUGUGAUCCAGGCUGGCUGGGUCUCCCAUCUGAGGAUUCUUUAGGUAAACAUCUUUCAUUUUUGUUAUAGCAUCUCUGGAGGGGGGUGAAAAAAACCAAGAAUGAGCAGAACACAGUGAAAGGUGAAUGUCACGAGCUAAGUGUAGUCUCCUGACGCCGUGGGAACCGUGUUAAGCAGGGGAAGACUGGGUAACGUCUGGGUUGGCGGGGAGCAUCGGGGCUUGCUUUCCUUCCUUAAAACUCUGUAAGAAUUCCGCUCCCCAGGCCUGUGUCAUCCAGAGAGGGUUAUUAAACUCUCAGUCGCCUCUUCUGAAUGCUA
This is a long non-coding RNA of Felis catus (domestic cat), 869 nucleotides long. RefSeq lists it as uncharacterized. Lineage: Eukaryota; Metazoa; Chordata; Mammalia; Carnivora; Felidae. The transcript has 2 exons. The record is from RefSeq and is a predicted model, not a curated record.